AGUGAACGCUGGCGGUAGGCCUAACACAUGCAAGUCGAACGGCAGCACAGUAAGAGCUUGCUCUUACGGGUGGCGAGUGGCGGACGGGUGAGGAAUACAUCGGAAUCUACUUUUUCGUGGGGGAUAACGUAGGGAAACUUACGCUAAUACCGCAUACGACCUACGGGUGAAAGCAGGGGAUCUUCGGACCUUGCGCGAUUGAAUGAGCCGAUGUCGGAUUAGCUAGUUGGCGUGGUAAAGGCCCACCAAGGCGACGAUCCGUAGCUGGUCUGAGAGGAUGAUCAGCCACACUGGAACUGAGACACGGUCCAGACUCCUACGGGAGGCAGCAGUGGGGAAUAUUGGACAAUGGGCGAAAGCCUGAUCCAGCCAUACCGCGUGGGUGAAGAAGGCCUUCGGGUUGUAAAGCCCUUUUGUUGGGAAAGAAAAGCAGCAGGUUAAUACCCCGCUGUUCUGACGGUACCCAAAGAAUAAGCACCGGCUAACUUCGUG
Molecule: ribosomal RNA, 492 nt
Filed under: uncultured bacterium
Lineage: Bacteria
Description: partial 16S ribosomal RNA
Rfam family: Bacterial small subunit ribosomal RNA
Source: RNAcentral